AGAUGAUGAACCAAUAGAGAAAUUUUUUGAAUCAUUCGGCAAAAAAUAAUUUAUCAAUCUGCUAUAGGAUGCAAUAAAUACUUAUUGGGUUGUUGCCGAUGAGAACCUCAUGCACUAGAAGAUUUUUGUGCAUUGCCUUAGCUAGAUUUAUAUUAGAGGCAAAUUAUAAUUCAGUCUUUUUUAAUAUAUUUUUAAAAGUUAAAAGGCUUAUUUGUCUUCAAAAUAGUAAGAUGACUUAAUGACUUAUUUGAUUUUCUUUUUUUUAAUUUGAAAGGCUUGUUUAGAUCCCGAAACACUUUAAAGACUUAUAUGACUAUUGACUCGUACUUUAAGGGCCAAGAUAGGCCUUUUGCUUUUUUAAUUUUAAGAAUCUCUACAACAUAAAAAGGGCAUUAUAAUUAUCUUGAAUAAUAAAUAUAGGCCAAAAACCUUUUGAGAAUUGACAAUAUCGACACCCUAUAAAUUAUGCAUUGAUGAGGGGUAAGUGGAUGAAACCCAUUCCCCCAUCUAAUGGUAACAGAAGGAGAUUUCUUUUCACCAAUUACCAAUAUAACAUUAAGAAAAAGAAAUCUCAUUCUUUUUAGCUAAACCAAAAAGAUAAAACAGAAAUCUCAUAUUUUUAGCUGGACCAAACACUUCCUAGAUGUAUUAUUAAAUCUGGUUCUGUGAUCAGUUGCAUGUGAGAGACGCUUGUUAAAAGUAUUAAUGAACUACUGUCUAUUUGAUAGGUUUAACUUGUAAACAGCAAUCAUUAUCCUGUGUAAUCCAAUCCACUUCCAAGACUGGAUUGUGGUCUGAAUUUUUUUUUUCUUUAAAUGUUAAAGAUGAGAAUUUGUUUGGGAAUCAAAUGCCCCAGUACAAAAAUGUGAUAGUUUAGUAGAGGAAGAAGGGAGAAGGGGAAGGGGAGAUCUAAAAUGACGUGCAGAGUAGUAUUAAAGGAUAUACAAGUUUUAGAUAUUGAAGCGGACCUGGUGUCUAAUAGAGCUAAAUAGUGAAAAAUGAUCUAUGUAGCCGACCUCAAUUAGUUUAGAAUUAAAGUUUUGUUCUUAUUGUUGUUGUUGUUGUUAUUGUUAUUAAUUACAAUGCCCAUGGGU
RNAcentral lists this unclassified non-coding RNA (1094 nucleotides) under Hevea brasiliensis (rubber tree). Lineage: Eukaryota; Viridiplantae; Streptophyta; Magnoliopsida; Malpighiales; Euphorbiaceae. The record is from RNAcentral.